GACGAACGCUGGCGGCGUGCUUAACACAUGCAAGUCGAACGGAAAGGCCCUGCUUUUGUGGGGUGCUCGAGUGGCGAACGGGUGAGUAACACGUGAGUAACCUGCCCUUGACUUUGGGAUAACUUCAGGAAACUGGGGCUAAUACCGGAUAGGAGCUCCUGCUGCAUGGUGGGGGUUGGAAAGUUUCGGCGGUUGGGGAUGGACUCGCGGCUUAUCAGCUUGUUGGUGGGGUAGUGGCUUACCAAGGCUUUGACGGGUAGCCGGCCUGAGAGGGUGACCGGCCACAUGGGGACUGAGAUACGGCCCAGACUCCUACGGGAGGCAGCAGGGGGGAAUAUUGCACAAUGGGCGGAAGCCUGAUGCAGCAACGCCGCGUGCGGGAUGACGGCCUUCGGGUUGUAAACCGCUUUCGCCUGCGACGAAGCGUGAGUGACGGUAAUGGGUAAAGAAGCACCGGCUAACUACGUG
This 468-nucleotide ribosomal RNA is filed under the name uncultured bacterium. RNAcentral's name for it is "partial 16S ribosomal RNA". It matches the Rfam family "Bacterial small subunit ribosomal RNA", at positions 28 to 507 of the family's 1533-position model. The record is from RNAcentral.